GCGGUUGUAACUCAGUGGUAGAGUGUUCGCUUUGCAUGCGAAAAGCCCGGAGUUCAAUCCUCCGCAACUCAAUAGUA
This 77-nucleotide transfer RNA is filed under the name Daphnia pulex (common water flea). Its description in RNAcentral is "tRNA-Ala". It matches the Rfam family "tRNA". Rfam says of the family: Transfer RNA (tRNA) molecules are approximately 80 nucleotides in length. Their secondary structure includes four short double-helical elements and three loops (D, anti-codon, and T loops). Lineage: Eukaryota; Metazoa; Arthropoda; Branchiopoda; Diplostraca; Daphniidae. The record is from RNAcentral.